GGCCUUAUAGCUAGCCCGCCCAAGCAACUUCAACAAACCCCUGUUAAUAACCCCUAAGUACCCCAGUAUUUACAUUAAACAAACCAUUUUUCCCCCUUAGUAUAGGUGAUAGAAAAGGGACAACGGCGCAAUAGAGAAAGUACCGCAAGGGAAUGCUGAAAGAGAAGUGAAAGAACCCAGUGAAGCCUAGAAAAGCAGAGAUAAGCACUCGUACCUUUUGCAUCAUGAUUUAGCAAGUGUAAUCCAAGCAAAGCGUGCUUUAGUUUGACAUCCCGAAACUAUGUGAGCUACUCCAAGACAGCCUAUUAAUAGGGCACACCCGUCUCUGUGGCAAAAGAGUGGGGAGAGCUUUGAGUAGAGGUGACAGACCUACCGAACCUAGUUAUAGCUGGUUGCUCAAGAAAUGAAUAGAAGUUCAGCCUCCUGGCUUCUCUUUUCACCUUAGUUUGACCCCUAUUGAUAUGCUUAAGAAACCAGGAGAGUUAGUCAAAGGGGGUACAGCCCCUUUGAACCAAGACACAACUUUACCAGGAGGGUAAAGAUCAUAAUAAUCAAAGGUAAAUAUUUGGGUGGGCCUAAAAGCAGCCAUCCCGUUAGAAAGCGUUAAAGCUCAGAUAUACCCCUGACCCUUCUUAUUCUGAUCACACAAUCUUAUCCCCCUAGACAUACUGAGCCAUCCCAUGCCCGCAUGGGAGUGACCAUGCUGAUAUGAGUAAUAAGAGAGCCUCCGGCUCUCUCCCUGCACACGUGUAAGUCGGAACGGACAUCCCGCCGACCAUUAACGGCCCCAGUCAAAGAGGGCACUGAAUACUAGAUCAAACAACAAGAAGAACAUUCAGAAAUCAACCGUUAACCCCACACAGGUGUGCCUACGGGGAAAGACUAAAAGAAGGAGAAGGAACUCGGCAAACAUAUGAAGCCUCGCCUGUUUACCAAAAACAUCGCCUCUUGCAAACUUAAUAAAUAAGAGGUCCCGCCUGCCCUGUGACUAUUAGUUUAACGGCCGCGGUAUUUUGACCGUGCGAAGGUAGCGCAAUCACUUGUCUUUUAAAUGAAGACCUGUAUGAAUGGCAUAACGAGGGCUUAACUGUCUCCUCCCUCCAGUCAGUGAAAUUGAUCUUCCCGUGCAGAAGCGGGAAUACAAACAUAAGACGAGAAGACCCUAUGGAGCUUUAGACACCAAGGCAGAUCAUGUUAAUAGUCCUGCAUAAGGGAAUAAACCAAAUGGAAUCUGCCCUAAUGUCUUUGGUUGGGGCGACCGCGGGGAAUUAGAAAACCCCCACGUGGAAUGGGAGCACCCCUCCUACAACUAAGGGCGACAGCUCUAGUAAACAGAAAUUCUGACCAGUAAGAUCCGGCAGCGCCGAUCAACGGACCGAGUUACCCUAGGGAUAACAGCGCAAUCCUCUUUUAGAGCCCAUAUCGACAAGGGGGUUUACGACCUCGAUGUUGGAUCAGGACAUCCUAAUGGUGCAGCCGCUAUUAAGGGUUCGUUUGUUCAACGAUUAAAGUCCUACGUGAUCUGAGUUCAGACCGGAGUAAUCCAGGUCAGUUUCUAUCUAUGCAAUGCUUUUUUCUAGUACGAAAGGACCGAGAAGAGGAGGCCCAUGCUCCAGGCACGCCUCCCCCUUACCUAGUGAAGACAACUAAAAUAGGCAAAAGGGCAUGCCCUCCUGCCUAAGAAAAAGGCAU
Molecule: ribosomal RNA, 1692 nt
Filed under: Apodichthys flavidus (penpoint gunnel)
Lineage: Eukaryota; Metazoa; Chordata; Actinopteri; Perciformes; Pholidae
Description: 16S ribosomal RNA
Rfam family: Bacterial large subunit ribosomal RNA
Source: RNAcentral